UUUGAAGCCCAUGAGGAUGAGAACCUCCGGGGGCUGGGAGGUUCGACUCGAGCGAAGCGAGAGAACGUUGCGCCAGCAACGGCCCGCAGGGCGAGCCACGAAGUGGCGAGUAAUCCUCUAUCACCGACCA
Molecule: small RNA, 130 nt
Filed under: Escherichia coli
Lineage: Bacteria; Pseudomonadati; Pseudomonadota; Gammaproteobacteria; Enterobacterales; Enterobacteriaceae
Description: RtT sRNA
Rfam family: RtT RNA
About the family: This family represents a bacterial cis-regulatory element known as RtT RNA.
Source: RNAcentral